RNAcentral lists this unclassified non-coding RNA (506 nucleotides) under Mycolicibacterium fortuitum. Its description in RNAcentral is "partial 16S-23S ribosomal RNA intergenic spacer". The stretch from base 1 to 72 matches the Rfam family "Bacterial small subunit ribosomal RNA", at positions 1462 to 1533 of the family's 1533-position model. Lineage: Bacteria; Bacillati; Actinomycetota; Actinomycetes; Mycobacteriales; Mycobacteriaceae. The record is from RNAcentral.
GUGGGAUCGGCGAUUGGGACGAAGUCGUAACAAGGUAGCCGUACCGGAAGGUGCGGCUGGAUCACCUCCUUUCUAAGGAGCACCGAUUCGAUUCCCCCGCCGUCCGCGAAGUCGUGGGCAGUAGUGCGGUUGGGAUAUUUCAGCCAGGCCCUGUAGUGGGUGUCUGGUGGGUGCAAAUGACAAACGUUGAGCCGGCGCGGGAAAGCGCGGGUGAUGGAACUGCUGAACACACUAUUGGGCUUUGAGACAACAGGCCCGUGCCCCUUUUUUUGGGGGGUGGCAUCCGGUUGCGGGUGUCGGCGUGUUGUUGCCUCACUUUGGUGGUGGGGUGUGGUGUUUGAUUUGUGGAUAGUGGUUGCGAGCAUCUAGCACGCAGUGUGGCUGGGGGCCUUCGGGUUUCCGGUCUUGUUGUGUGUUGAUGUGCAAUUUCUUUUGAAACUCAUUUUUGGUUUUUGUGUUGUAAGUGUUUAAGGGCGCAUGGUGGAUGCCUUGGCACUGGGAGCCGA